This 478-nucleotide ribosomal RNA is filed under the name uncultured bacterium. RNAcentral's name for it is "partial 16S ribosomal RNA". It matches the Rfam family "Bacterial small subunit ribosomal RNA", at positions 28 to 507 of the family's 1533-position model. The record is from RNAcentral.
GACGAACGCUGGCGGCGUGCUUAACACAUGCAAGUCGAACGGGAUUUAGUAAACGGAAGCCUCGGUGGAAGAUUACUAAUGAGAGUGGCGAACGGGUGAGUAGCGCGUGAGCAACCUGCCUAUGACAGUGGGAUAGCCUCGGGAAACCGGGAUUAAUACCGCAUAAAAUCGUAGAAACACAUGUUUCAACGGUCAAAGAUUUAUCGGUCAUAGAUGGGCUCGCGUCUGAUUAGCUAGUUGGUGAGAUAACAGCCCACCAAGGCGACGAUCAGUAGCCGGUCUGAGAGGAUGAACGGCCACAUUGGAACUGAGACACGGUCCAAACUCCUACGGGAGGCAGCAGUGGGGAAUAUUGCACAAUGGGGGAAACCCUGAUGCAGCGACGCCGCGUGAACGAAGAAGGUAUUCGUAUCGUAAAGUUCUGUCCUAUGGGAAGAUAAUGACAGUACCAUAGAAGAAGGCUCCGGCUAAAUACGUG